UCUUCCGUAGUAUAGUGGUCAGUAUGUGAGCUUGUCAUCCAAGUCGACAUCGCUCGAGACCCGGGUUCAAUUCCCGGCGGGAGAG
Molecule: non-coding RNA, 85 nt
Organism: Collariella sp. IMI 366227
Lineage: Eukaryota; Fungi; Ascomycota; Sordariomycetes; Sordariales; Chaetomiaceae
Source: the annotation of a GenBank genome assembly